GUAUAAUGUUAACUGACAUUCUGCUUUAUAAGAUCUUAUCUCAUGUCAGUCUGCUGGCGGCAGCUGCUGUCCUAAUGCUUCCAGGACCUCGGAGGCUGACCAAACUCACCGGGGUCUGAGAUGGAAGAAUAAUGAGAGCAGAUGGUCUAGAUGGUCUAAGCCUGCCCAAGGAUGGUUUGAUUUAUGCUUUCAGACUUGCGACACCUUAGGAGGAGAAUCAAGCCCGUGGAAUCCCUUUGUUGUAUUGAUGCUGCUUUGAAUCUCUGCUGUCACCACUGGCAGAGAGACACCCCCAGGAGGACCAGGUCCGUAAAGGCAGGUGGCACCUUGUCAGGAUUACUGACCUGUCCAACAGGUGAAAAUGAAAGCAGUUCACAGUGAAAGAAGCUGUCUCCAGUUUCCUCCAGGUGGUCAGUGAGACCUGGGCAUCUCAGUGAUUCAAAAUCGAGGCCAUUUCUACAACAACCUGGG
Molecule: long non-coding RNA, 471 nt
Organism: Myotis lucifugus (little brown bat)
Lineage: Eukaryota; Metazoa; Chordata; Mammalia; Chiroptera; Vespertilionidae
Exons: 3
Source: RefSeq, a predicted model, not a curated record